ACCAUCGUGCCACAUCGUAUACCUGUUUGCCCUCAACGCUGGUAGAAUUUUCCUCGUCCCACACACAACGUCGUUAACAACGCUGAUCACGAAGUGGCUUGGUAGGCGUGGAGAAGUGAGGGUUUUAAGGCAAAAUUUUGCAAAGGUGCAAAAUUUGCAAACCACAUUUUUUUUUAACUUUUGAAAAGGGAGGUUCAACCCAGUUGAGUCUCUGUUCCGUGGCCGUUGGUGAAUCGCCUCCUGAAAUUCGGGGCGUGGAGUUGGAUCCGGAUAUGAUGACAGUGGGUGUAUUGUGGUUUUGGAUACUCCGAUAGGUUACCCGCUCCAACGUCAAGUUGUACACAAACCCUAGCAUUGGGCUGAAUUUGGUACUAAUUAAUGUUGAGAUAUUUGGAGUGAAAAAGAAAGAAGGCAAGAGAUGAGUGUGCUCUGUUUAGCCGGAAAUGUGAUCCAUAGAAUAAUCAAAAUUAGACAUUCUAAAUUAACUUACGUUUGCUGAUCGAUCACACUCCUUCCUUUGCUUGCUUGCAGCGAUGGGUUUUGCCAGAUUCUCAUCUUUCUCUUAGUGAUUAUGGAGAGGUUACCAAACUGCCCCUUAGAGGAAAGAACGCCCCACUUAGAGGAAAUACACUAGAGGAAACAAUUGACCAUCUAUACCACCUCUCGUUGGGAUAUACACUUGGCUUGAGCGCUUUCAAAGCAUAAAUCUUAAUCUUUCAAUACUGUAGUUACUCCCAUUGAGGCCUGUAACUAGAUCUUCCAUGUGGAGAUAAUCUUUGAGGUACUUAGAGGUGAAGAUGUUUUGAAGCGAGGUUGGCUACUUUCAAUCUUGAGGACGAAGCAUAGAGCUUGUGGGAAGCUUUGAAGCACUCUAGAGGGGGUUAUGCUUAUGCUGCAACUCUCCCUUGUGCUGAUUUCCGUAACAUAUGAACCAUCUUUGGGUACCAUUCGAAUACGUUGCACAUUUGUACCAGUUGGGGACUAGGGAAUGAACAGACCGAUGAAAAUUGUAGGCAAACACGGGCAUGACAACUGGACAAAGACAGUUUUGUUCAACUGUUCUCGAGUUUUUCUCGGAGGGGACGUGAGCGAAAAGGAUGGAAAGCUAUCAACUUUGCAGUUAUGCGCUUCUAAUCCACACUUUUUUUUACUUUUACUUUUUUAACACUAGUGACUAGUGUGACGAAUGUUGUGUUAAUAUAGGUAUAUUUCGAUUGUACAUCA
Long non-coding RNA from Helianthus annuus (common sunflower), 1224 nucleotides. RefSeq lists it as uncharacterized. Lineage: Eukaryota; Viridiplantae; Streptophyta; Magnoliopsida; Asterales; Asteraceae. The transcript has 2 exons. The record is from RefSeq and is a predicted model, not a curated record.